Long non-coding RNA from Pseudophryne corroboree (corroboree frog), 957 nucleotides. RefSeq lists it as uncharacterized. The transcript has 3 exons. The record is from RefSeq and is a predicted model, not a curated record. NCBI's taxonomy places the organism in Eukaryota, Metazoa, Chordata, Amphibia, Anura, Myobatrachidae.
UGCUGCCAUUGAGGUGGAGUGACAAGGCCAGGAUCUCCGUCAGAGUACAGAGAUUUCUUGGUCUCUUGCAGGGGCGGAACUGUGGGAGGCAGUGGAGUCGGCUGCCGCCGGGCUCCUGACCACAAGGGGGCGCAUCUCCUCCACUGUCUCCCGCAGCCUGAGAACUGCGCUGCUAUUGUGGACGGAGGAGCAGUCACUGACACGGAAGCUGCCUCCUGUAGGGAGAGAUGGCACUGGCUGCAGCUAGGGGGAGCUCCAGAGCACAGCUCCUCUUCUAGCCAGCCGAGGGAAGCUCUCUGCUCCGUCAGCCUGAUGAUGAAAGCCAAAGACAGAUGAAUCCCACCCUGCCCGUUUUUGUGCGCCCUACCAACCCGCCGUUUUCUGCCUGCCGUACCCCGCCACGCCGCCAGACCCAGCCGUGCGCCGCCGGACCCGAAAAUGAAAUCACCGACCCAGGAAUAUACCAGGGUUGGAGACCCAGAGAUUUCAACACGGUUGACCCUCUCACACAGACGAAAUACCUGUUUUGAUCCGCAUAUUACCAGGUAGAAAUUCUUGUCCCGGUAAUUUGCUUCUCUGUGUGAAAGGGGAAGGGGGUCAGACGGAGACUGGCAAAAUGACCAUACACUGAAAUGCUGGUUAAUUGCUGGGAUUUCUGUCUGAAAAGGGUAUCAUAAAGGACUUACAGGUUAAAUGUGUUUUCGUUUUUUUAUUUACCAUAAAAAACAAUAAAUCUUGUGUUUAAUAGAGAUAACUAUUCAGUAAAGUUCAAUAUACAACAGAUUUUGGCUGCUUAAAUGCAUUGAUGACAGAAACGUGAAUCAGAUCCAAAGAAGGUUACUCUCAAGGGAAGAUUUAGUAAGAGAAGUUUAACAUUUUCAGUAGAAAACUGAAUUUUUCAACAACAAAAACAUUUUUUCAAAAAAGCUACAGAAGAGCACAUUCAACAAAUUUACA